UCGGUGGCGUCUCCCUCCGCAAUCCCCAUUCCCCACCUCCUCGGCCUGGUCCCCACACGCGGCGCGGCGCGGCGGGCAUGGAGGUCGACGACCCGUCGCCGCGCGGCGGGGACGGGGGCGGGGCCCCGCCCCGCAUCGGUGGUGAACCGCAUCGCCGCGGGGGAGGUGAUCCAGCGGCCGCCGUCGGCGGUGAAGGAGCUCGUCGAGAAAAGCAUCGAUGCCGGCGCCUCCACCGUCUCCGUCACCGAAGGAUGGCGGCCUCAAGCUCAUCCAGGUCUCCGACGACGGCCACGGCAUCCGGUGCGUACAGGGUCAUGUGGAGGCGAAUGAUUGGGAAUUUUGGUCUUGGUGAUUUUCUACACUGGAUCUGUCUGAUUGUUCCGACUCAGGCAGUAAAAUACUGCAUAGGGGCUGCUAUGCCAUGGGCAAAUGAGGGCACACCUAUAUUAACAGGCCAUUUGAGAUUGUUAGUGCUGAUUGCCUUUAGGCAUCAUGUAGUUGUCUGCAUAUGAGGACCUACAAACAAUAAAGUCCAUGGGGUUCAGAAGGGAGGCUUUGGCCAGUUUGACUUAUGUUGGCCAUGUUACCGUGACAACAAUAACAGAAGGCCAAUUGCAUGGCUACAGAGUUUCUUAUAGGGAUGGAGUAAUGGAGAAUGACCCGAAGCCCUGUUCUGCGGUUAAAGGAACUCAAGUCAUGGUUGAAAAUUUAUUUUACAAUAUGGUAGGAAAACACUGCAGAACUCCAGUGAUGACUAUCCAAAGAUAGUGGACUUCAUCAGUCAGUUUACGGUCCAUCACAUCAAUGUGAACUUCUCUUGCAGAAAGCAUGGAAUCAAUAGAGCAGAUGUUCACAGUGGGAGCAUGUCUUCAAGGCUAGAUGCUAUUAGGAAUGUCUAUGGGGCUUCGGUUGUUCGCGAUCUGGUGGUAAUACAUGUUUCAGAUGAGAUGCUGUAGAUGAAAUAUUCAAGAUGGAUGGUUUCAUCUCAAAUGCAAAUUAUGUGGUAAAAAAAACUACUAUGAUUCUUUUCAUAAAUGGUAUACAAAUUACAAGGCACUAGUAAAUUUUUAGAGCCUUUUCCUCCAUAAGUAAAUUCUGUUGAUUUCAUAUGCACUAAAAUGUACUGCGAUGUCCAUGUAGAUACACAUGUUCAGAACUUCAGAUGCUAUGUACUCUGAUCAGAGUAAUCUGGCCGCAUCUUGUUCAUAUAUUUUCGAUGAACAAGGGGAUAUCUUUUAAAGAAUAAUUUUGUAAUACCAACAAUGUUUUAAAUGAUGCAUCCACUGUGAUUGAACUGUUAUGUAUUUUCUGUCAGUGAAUUAGUAAAGUAUAGUUUCUCUAUUAUCAUGGCUGUGCCUAGUUUGCUUUAUCCCAUAACUGUCCAUAUCUCCUCUUCAGAUAGACUUGUAGACUGCACUUCUUUGAAAAGGGCAACUGAAUUUAUGUAAUCUGCAAUACUGCCUCAAGCAUCCAAACCCUUCAUAUACUAUUGAGAAAAAAAUUUAAAGAUGCUAUUGAGGAAAAACUGAUGAACUGUAAUAACACAAGGAUAUUCCAAACUCAGGUUAUUCAAUUGUUUAAUUUACACUUACACAAACCCAAAGAUAGUUUUUUGUUGUUGUGUCUCAUCACAGUUGAUAUGGUGCGGCAAUUGCCAGAGAUCCUUCAUUGACCAUCUGGCAUCAAAAUUGACUGGGUUGCGCUUGGUCAUAUUCUUCAUACUAUUUCAACUGCAGCAAAGUUCAGGGAUAAUACUGCCUCGUGCUCCAUAAUUGACCAUCUGGCAUCAAAAUUGAUGGCAUUAACAAACACUAACUGUCUUCCGAGUAUAAAAAAGGAUACCCUAGAUGAUAUGUUCUUCUGGGACACCCGAAGGCGGACAAUGUUUUAUAUUCAUGAGAUCCCUAAAGCGCUGAACGAUGAUGAUUUUGUGACAAGGGUGGAGAACCAUGCGUGGACACUACCAUGGGACAGUAAGCAUUUUGGACUCGUAAAGGCCAUGAACGACUAUUGUGAAGAAGUUGCGAUAAGAGAGCAACACAAUGGAGUUAAACCAGGUCCAGAAGUUCUGAAACAAUGUCAUUACAAUGGAAACGAUCCAGUUCACAAUGUACAGUGUAUGAGCGGAGCUUACACUCACCAAGACAAAAUAGA
Long non-coding RNA from Triticum aestivum (bread wheat), 2154 nucleotides. RefSeq lists it as uncharacterized. NCBI's taxonomy places the organism in Eukaryota, Viridiplantae, Streptophyta, Magnoliopsida, Poales, Poaceae. The transcript has 6 exons. The record is from RefSeq and is a predicted model, not a curated record.